ACCUAUCUGGCUCAGUCGGUAGAGCAUGUGACUCUUGAUCUCGGGAUUGUGAGUUCAAGCCCCAUGUUGGGUG
Molecule: transfer RNA, 73 nt
Filed under: Ailuropoda melanoleuca (giant panda)
Lineage: Eukaryota; Metazoa; Chordata; Mammalia; Carnivora; Ursidae
Rfam family: tRNA
About the family: Transfer RNA (tRNA) molecules are approximately 80 nucleotides in length. Their secondary structure includes four short double-helical elements and three loops (D, anti-codon, and T loops).
Source: Rfam by way of RNAcentral